This 815-nucleotide long non-coding RNA is filed under the name Macaca fascicularis (crab-eating macaque). RNAcentral describes it as "lncRNA (ENSMFAG00000054942.1)". The record is from RNAcentral. Lineage: Eukaryota; Metazoa; Chordata; Mammalia; Primates; Cercopithecidae.
AUGAUGGCGCACUUAAAAAGGAGCAUGUUAUGUCAGCACCGGUGAUAAGACAAUUUAUUACUGUCUACAAAAGGAAGGCUCUAAUGCCAUAGUAGAGGCUGGCUCAGCGGGCUGUAAAUUAUGAGCCAUUCUCUGGCUGGCGGAAAUAAAUCCUCUUGUCACUCACUGCGCUCUCCCCUUGACAGGCCAGCAGGCCGCCGGGAGCAGGCAGAGUCAGGAAUUCCAUGUCCAUGACCUGAGAGCCGCACCACUCUGCCUCCCGGGCCUCACCCCGCCCCAGACACACCCACACUUAAUGACAUCUCUGAUCACAUCUUUGGGACACAUGUCCUUUUUGACUUGAAAAAGUAACAACUGUGUGUGGCCUUCUCACAGGCUGAAAAGAAGCAGGGUCCAGUGGAGAAAGGUGAGCAAUGCGAAGGCCUGGCCCGAACACUAUGACUUCAGCAAGGCUUCCUCCACCCCGCUCAGCUGCUUUCCUGGUCGGAAAAGUAGAAUUGGACCGAGAGGGUGAGCUGACAGAGAGACAUCUAAGUAGGAGUCAACAGGCUUUCCAAGUUCUUGAGUCAGCUGAUGCCAUGGGUCUGUGAUGCACAGACGCUAUGUCCACUAGUUUAUGGCAGUAAUAUAGUCACCUGGGAUGGAUCUAAGGCCAAAUUUGCUGUAGCAAGAUCUGUGACUCCAAAGGAUUAAUAAUACUGAAUUAUUGCAGUGUGGACCCAAUAAGCAACCUGAAGCUGCAUCAUGGAAUUAAAGUGAGUUAGAGCCUGAGUAUAUUGCUCCUUGGGUGAUUCUAUCCUGCAAAUAAUACAUUA